GAUGAACGCUGACAGAAUGCUUAACACAUGCAAGUCUUUGGCGAAGCUGUGCUUGCACAGCCUAGCCAAGGCGGACGGGUGAGUAACGCGUAAGGAACUUGCCCUGCAGUCAGGGAUAACAGACGGAAACGACUGAUAAGACCUGGUAAAGUCAGGCGGACUCAUGUCCAGCCUGAUGAAAAGAGAUGCUGCAGGAGAGCCUUGCGUCCUAUUAGUUUGUUGGUGGGGUAACGGCCCACCAAGGCGAUGAUAGGUAGCCGGCCUGAGAGGGUGGACGGCCACAAGGGGACUGAGAUACGGCCCUUACUCCUACGGGAGGCAGCAGUGGGGAAUAUUGGACAAUGGGGGCAACACUGAUCCAGCAAUUCUGUGUGCACGAUGAAGGUUUUCGGAUUGUAAAGUGCUUUCAGCAGGGAAGAAAAAAAUGACGGUACCUGCAGAAGAAGCGACGGCUAAAUACGUG
This 463-nucleotide ribosomal RNA is filed under the name uncultured bacterium. RNAcentral describes it as "partial 16S ribosomal RNA". It matches the Rfam family "Bacterial small subunit ribosomal RNA", at positions 28 to 507 of the family's 1533-position model. The record is from RNAcentral.